CAGCGUCACGAGUGGCAAUCGUACUUAUUUGGCCUAAAGCGUUCGUAGCCGGCUUGAAAAAUCUUUUGUGAAAUCGUUGUGCUCAACACAACGGCGUGCAAAAGACACUGUCAAGCUAGGGACCGGGAGGAGUUAGGAGUAUUCAUGGGGGAGCGGUAAAAUGCUAUAAUCCUAUGAAGACUACCUGUGGCGAAGGCGCCUAACCAGAACGGAUCCGACGGUGAGGAACGAAAGCUAGGGGAUCAAACCGGAUUAGAUACCCGAGUAGUCC
Molecule: ribosomal RNA, 271 nt
Filed under: uncultured archaeon
Lineage: Archaea
Description: partial 16S ribosomal RNA
Rfam family: Archaeal small subunit ribosomal RNA
Source: RNAcentral